This 624-nucleotide ribosomal RNA is filed under the name Loma salmonae. RNAcentral describes it as "SSU rRNA". It matches the Rfam family "Microsporidia small subunit ribosomal RNA", at positions 687 to 1304 of the family's 1311-position model. Lineage: Eukaryota; Fungi; Microsporidia; Glugeidae. The record is from RNAcentral.
AAACGAUGCCGAUGUCGUGGUGCCGAAUAAUGGCGACGCGAAAGAGAAAUCGAGUAGGGCCCUGGGGAGAGUACACGCGCAAGCGAGAAAUUUAAAGGAAAUUGACGGAAGAACACCACAAGGAGUGGAGUGUGCGGCUUAAUUUGACUCAACGCGGGACAACUUACCGGGCCCGACGACCGUAAGAGUGUGACACACGAUAGGUCGAAGAGUGGUGCAUGGCCGUUAACGACGAGUGGAGUGAUCUUUGGGUUAAGUCCGUAAAUUAGUGAGACCUCAGCCGUAAGGGACAGGUGCGCAAAGCACAGGAAGGAUGGGUCAAGGACAGGUCAGUGAUGCCCUUAGAUGGUCCGGGCUGCACGCGCACUACAGUGGUCGCCGAAAUUACCUGAUAAUUAUAAAGGCGAUCGAGAGGGAAUGAGCUUUGUAAGAGGCUCAGGAACGAGGAAUUGCUAGUAAUCGCGGACCCAUUAAGACGCGAUGAAUACGUCCCUGUUCUUUGUACACACCGCCCGUCGUUAUCGAAGAUGAAGAUAGGCGCGAACGAUCUACCAGAAAGUGAGCGCAGGUUUUUAGAUCUGAUACAAGUCGUAACAAGGUAGCUGUAGGAGAACCUGUAGCUGG